This 18-nucleotide small nuclear RNA is filed under the name Arabidopsis thaliana (thale cress). Its description in RNAcentral is "snRNA_06838". Lineage: Eukaryota; Viridiplantae; Streptophyta; Magnoliopsida; Brassicales; Brassicaceae. The record is from RNAcentral.
UGCACCGCCGACCGACCU